UGGGGAAUUUUGGACAAUGGGGGAAACCCUGAUCCAGCCAUCCCGCGUGUGCGAUGAAGGCCGUCGGGUUGUAAAGCACUUUUGGCAGGAAAGAAACGUCAUGGGUUAAUACCCCGUGAAACUGACGGUACCUGCAGAAUAAGCACCGGCUAACUACGUGCCAGCAGCCGCGGUAAUACGUAGGGUGCAAGCGUUAAUCGGAAUUACUGGGCGUAAAGCGUGCGCAGGCGGUUCGGAAAGAAAGAUGUGAAAUCCCAGAGCUCAACUUUGGAACUGCAUUUUUAACUACCGGGCUAGAGUGUGUCAGAGGGAGGUGGAAUUCCGCGUGUAGCAGUGAAAUGCGUAGAUAUGCGGAGGAACACCGAUGGCGAAGGCAGCCUCCUGGUAUAACACUGACGCUCAUGCACGAAAGCGUGGGGAGCAAACAGG
This 429-nucleotide ribosomal RNA is filed under the name Acidobacteriota bacterium. Its description in RNAcentral is "Acidobacteria bacterium partial 16S ribosomal RNA". It matches the Rfam family "Bacterial small subunit ribosomal RNA", at positions 355 to 776 of the family's 1533-position model. The record is from RNAcentral. Lineage: Bacteria; Pseudomonadati; Acidobacteriota.